This 465-nucleotide ribosomal RNA is filed under the name uncultured Klebsiella sp. RNAcentral's name for it is "bacterial SSU rRNA". It matches the Rfam family "Bacterial small subunit ribosomal RNA", at positions 338 to 795 of the family's 1533-position model. The record is from RNAcentral. Lineage: Bacteria; Pseudomonadati; Pseudomonadota; Gammaproteobacteria; Enterobacterales; Enterobacteriaceae.
CCUACGGGAGGCUGCAGUGGGGAAUAUUGCACAGUGGGCGCAAGCCUGAUGCAGCCAUGCCGCGUGUGUGAAGAAGGCCUUCGGGUUGUAAAGCACUUUCAGCGGGGAGGAAGGCGUUAAGGUUAAUAACCUUGGCGAUUGACGUUACCCGCAGAAGAAGCACCGGCUAACUCCGUGCCAGCAGCCGCGGUAAUACGGAGGGUGCAAGCGUUAAUCGGAAUUACUGGGCGUAAAGCGCACGCAGGCGGUCUGUCAAGUCGGAUGUGAGAUCCCCGGGCUCAACCUGGGAACUGCAUUCGAAACUGGCAGGCUAGAGUCUUGUAGAGGGGGGUAGAAUUUCAGGUGUAGCGGUGAAAUGCGUAGAGAUCUGGAGGAAUACCGGUGGCGAAGGCGGCCCCCUGGACAAAGACUGACGCUCAGGUGCGAAAGCGUGGGGAGCAAACAGGAUUAGAUACCCGGGUAGUC